This 1418-nucleotide ribosomal RNA is filed under the name Staphylococcus aureus M1425. Its description in RNAcentral is "bacterial LSU rRNA". It matches the Rfam family "Bacterial large subunit ribosomal RNA", at positions 841 to 2259 of the family's 2925-position model. The record is from RNAcentral. Lineage: Bacteria; Bacillati; Bacillota; Bacilli; Caryophanales; Staphylococcaceae.
GGAGAUAGCUGGUUCUCUCCGAAAUAGCUUUAGGGCUAGCCUCAAGUGAUGAUUAUUGGAGGUAGAGCACUGUUUGGACGAGGGGCCCCUCUCGGGUUACCGAAUUCAGACAAACUCCGAAUGCCAAUUAAUUUAACUUGGGAGUCAGAACAUGGGUGAUAAGGUCCGUGUUCGAAAGGGAAACAGCCCAGACCACCAGCUAAGGUCCCAAAAUAUAUGUUAAGUGGAAAAGGAUGUGGCGUUGCCCAGACAACUAGGAUGUUGGCUUAGAAGCAGCCAUCAUUUAAAGAGUGCGUAAUAGCUCACUAGUCGAGUGACACUGCGCCGAAAAUGUACCGGGGCUAAACAUAUUACCGAAGCUGUGGAUUGUCCUUUGGACAAUGGUAGGAGAGCGUUCUAAGGGCGUUGAAGCAUGAUCGUAAGGACAUGUGGAGCGCUUAGAAGUGAGAAUGCCGGUGUGAGUAGCGAAAGACGGGUGAGAAUCCCGUCCACCGAUUGACUAAGGUUUCCAGAGGAAGGCUCGUCCGCUCUGGGUUAGUCGGGUCCUAAGCUGAGGCCGACAGGCGUAGGCGAUGGAUAACAGGUUGAUAUUCCUGUACCACCUAUAAUCGUUUUAAUCGAUGGGGGGACGCAGUAGGAUAGGCGAAGCGUGCGAUUGGAUUGCACGUCUAAGCAGUAAGGCUGAGUAUUAGGCAAAUCCGGUACUCGUUAAGGCUGAGCUGUGAUGGGGAGAAGACAUUGUGUCUUCGAGUCGUUGAUUUCACACUGCCGAGAAAAGCCUCUAGAUAGAAAAUAGGUGCCCGUACCGCAAACCGACACAGGUAGUCAAGAUGAGAAUUCUAAGGUGAGCGAGCGAACUCUCGUUAAGGAACUCGGCAAAAUGACCCCGUAACUUCGGGAGAAGGGGUGCUCUUUAGGGUUAACGCCCAGAAGAGCCGCAGUGAAUAGGCCCAAGCGACUGUUUAUCAAAAACACAGGUCUCUGCUAAACCGUAAGGUGAUGUAUAGGGGCUGACGCCUGCCCGGUGCUGGAAGGUUAAGAGGAGUGGUUAGCUUCUGCGAAGCUACGAAUCGAAGCCCCAGUAAACGGCGGCCGUAACUAUAACGGUCCUAAGGUAGCGAAAUUCCUUGUCGGGUAAGUUCCGACCCGCACGAAAGGCGUAACGAUUUGGGCACUGUCUCAACGAGAGACUCGGUGAAAUCAUAGUACCUGUGAAGAUGCAGGUUACCCGCGACAGGACGGAAAGACCCCGUGGAGCUUUACUGUAGCCUGAUAUUGAAAUUCGGCACAGCUUGUACAGGAUAGGUAGGAGCCUUUGAAACGUGAGCGCUAGCUUACGUGGAGGCGCUGGUGGGAUACUACCCUAGCUGUGUUGGCUUUCUAACCCGCACCACUUAUCGUGGUGGGAGACAGUGUCA